ACGGUCCAGACUCCUACGGGAGGCAGCAGUGGGGAAUUUUGGACAAUGGGCGCAAGCCUGAUCCAGCAAUGCCGCGUGAGUGAAGAAGGCCUUCGGGUUGUAAAGCUCUUUUGUCAGGGAAGAAACGGUAUGGGCUAAUAUCCCGUACUAAUGACGGUACCUGAAGAAUAAGCACCGGCUAACUACGUGCCAGCAGCCGCGGUAAUACGUAGGGUGCAAGCGUUAAUCGGAAUUACUGGGCGUAAAGCGUGCGCAGGCGGUUUUGUAAGUCUGUCGUGAAAUCCCCGGGCUCAACCUGGGAAUUGCGAUGGAGACUGCAAGGUUAGAAUCUGGCAGAGGGGGGUAGAAUUCCACGUGUAGCAGUGAAAUGCGUAGAGAUGUGGAGGAACACCGAUGGCGAAGGCAGCCCCCUGGGUCAAGAUUGACGCUCAUGCACGAAAGCGUGGGGAGCAAACAGGAUUAGAUACCCUGGUAGUCCACGCCCUAAACGAUGUCUACUAGUUGUCGGGUUUUAAUUAACUUGGUAACGCAGCUAACGCGUGAAGUAGACCGCCUGGGGAGUACGGUCGCAAGAUUAAAACUCAAAGGAAUUGACGGAA
This 599-nucleotide ribosomal RNA is filed under the name bacterium enrichment culture clone F61x_D6_T3_F01. RNAcentral's name for it is "bacterial SSU rRNA". It matches the Rfam family "Bacterial small subunit ribosomal RNA", at positions 326 to 918 of the family's 1533-position model. The record is from RNAcentral.